CAGAAGAGUCCCUAAAGGCUCUCUUCCAAGCCAGGUAGUUGACUUUCAGGUCCCCCCUUCUGUGCAUAGUCAGGGCAGUUGAAAUGAGAUCUGGAUUGUCUUCUGGAGCCAGUCAGGCUGUCAGCACUGACCACUGACUGUACUCUUCAUUCUUGGAUAUCCAUUCUGAACAGAUCACACUGAACUGAAAUGCAGCCAAUGUGGAGGCCGAGAAAGUGAGGUGGCUCUGUACUGUGCUGCCUUCCACCGGUUAAGUCCUCCGAGAGCAAAUGGCUGCCCAGACAGGUUAUGUCCCUUUGCCACUCUCAGAGGGGCAGCACUGUCCUGGCCAACAUUUGUGGUGCUGCGCAUGCCUGGCUCAGCAGUGACUGUUGGAUUUGACUCUGAGUAUACUGUGUUAAAACCUAAGAGACCCACCUUCUCUGUAGGACUCACAUGAGUGGGGGCCCUCUGGUAGAUCAGUCCUUCCCAGUUGUGUUUAACCAGAGAGCAUCUGGACCUUUAGCAUCUCCUUGUUGCUGAUUCAGAAGCUGGCAUCAGGCACAGGCACUGGAGAGGUCACUGAGACACUGCGAAAGCGAUGCCCAGUGAAGAGCCUGCACUGACCAUGGAAGAGAACAGCGGGCUGGACGAAGCUGCGGUGCAGGGCGGCCCAUGCCCGGGCCGCCUGGGGGCGCCCCCCACGCCGAGGCCUGGGGGUGCUUUCACCUGGCACCUGCGCGCCCCCGGGCACCGUCUGGCCGCUGGGCCACUUGCCGGCUGUGCGGGGGAGCAGGUGGGCCGCGGCCCGGGCUUCCAGGCGGGCACCUCGGCUCUGUGGCGACACCUGAAGGCGCGCACCGGCGGGAGCUGGGGAACAGCGGUGCGCCCGGCCCUGUGGCAGCCGCGGGCGCGAGUGGGCGCGGCUGCGGGAGCAGAUGGGCGCGCUGGCCGAGCAGGGCCGGCGGCGUGAGCGCGAGCUGGCGCGGAGGGAGGAGGCGGCCGUGGCCAGGGCGAGCGCGCCCUGGAGCGCGGGCGGAGCGCGCUGCGGGCCCUGGAGCGCCGGCUGCAGGCGGAACGCGAGGCCCUGCAGACGAGGCUGCGAGAGCUGGGCUGGCCCUCCGCGCCGCCCCCGGCCUCCGUACCGAAAAGAGGACCCCGAGGACCGGGUCGGGGACAGCUGCGUUGCCGCCAAGGUCCUGCUAUAGAGGUUGGCUGAUUCCACCCGUGGGCGCGAUAUGCCAAAUGCGGGGCCUCACGCAAAGUUCAUACCAGUGCGAAACCAAAACCACCGCGUCCUCGGGUGCCUUUGACUUCCUGUGCCUUGACGCAUGUGAAAAACAAAGUCGCACUGAAGGGGAACCAAAGAGCCCCAGCAUCCUUGGUGCCAUAUCACUUGAGGCUGGUGACUGAAAGGACAGAAGCUGCUUUACACGCCAAAGACUCUUCACUCUGUGUGCUUUAU
This 1444-nucleotide long non-coding RNA is filed under the name Heterocephalus glaber (naked mole-rat). RNAcentral's name for it is "lncRNA (ENSHGLG00100046720.1)". The stretch from base 202 to 338 matches the Rfam family "Small nucleolar RNA SNORA47". The record is from RNAcentral. Lineage: Eukaryota; Metazoa; Chordata; Mammalia; Rodentia; Bathyergidae.